UGGGGAAUAUUGCACAAUGGGCGCAAGCCUGAUGCAGCCAUGCCGCGUGUGUGAAGAAGGCCUUCGGGUUGUAAAGUACUUUCAGCGGGGAGGAAGGGAGUAAAGUUAAUACCUUUGCUCAUUGACGUUACCCGCAGAAGAAGCACCGGCUAACUCCGUGCCAGCAGCCGCGGUAAUACGGAGGGUGCAAGCGUUAAUCGGAAUUACUGGGCGUAAAGCGCACGCAGGCGGUUUGUUAAGUCAGAUGUGAAAUCCCCGGGCUCAACCUGGGAACUGCAUCUGAUAAUGGCAAGCUUGAGUCUCGUAGAGGGGGGUAGAAUUCCAGGUGUAGCGGUGAAAUGCGUAGAGAUCUGGAGGAAUACCGGUGGCGAAGGCGGCCCCCUGGACGAAGACUGACGCUCAGGUGCGAAAGCGUGGGGAGCAAACAGG
This 429-nucleotide ribosomal RNA is filed under the name Chloroflexota bacterium. Its description in RNAcentral is "Chloroflexi bacterium partial 16S ribosomal RNA". It matches the Rfam family "Bacterial small subunit ribosomal RNA", at positions 355 to 776 of the family's 1533-position model. The record is from RNAcentral. Lineage: Bacteria; Bacillati; Chloroflexota.